AUUGAACGCUGGCGGAAUGCUUUACACAUGCAAGUCGAACGGCAGCACGGGUGCUUGCACCUGGUGGCGAGUGGCGAACGGGUGAGUAAUGCACCGGAACGUAUCCAAUAAUGGGGGAUAACGCACCGAAAGGUGUGCUAAUACCGCAUACGCCCUGAGGGGGAAAGCGGGGGAUCGUAAGACCUCGCGUUAAUGGAGCGGCCGAUGCCGGAUUAGCUAGUUGGUGAGGUAAAGGCUCACCAAGGCGACGAUCCGUAGCUGGUCUGAGAGGACGACCAGCCACACUGGAACUGAGACACGGUCCAGACUCCUACGGGAGGCAGCAGUGGGGAAUUUUGGACAAUGGGCGCAAGCCUGAUCCAGCCAUUCCGCGUGGGUGAUGAAGGCCUUCGGGUUGUAAAGCCCUGUCGGGAGGGAC
RNAcentral lists this ribosomal RNA (418 nucleotides) under uncultured bacterium. RNAcentral's name for it is "bacterial SSU rRNA". It matches the Rfam family "Bacterial small subunit ribosomal RNA", at positions 29 to 446 of the family's 1533-position model. The record is from RNAcentral.